AGUGUAGCGGUUAACACGCCUGCCUGUCACGCAGGAGAUCGCGGGUUCGAUUCCCGUC
Molecule: transfer RNA, 58 nt
Filed under: Staphylococcus aureus
Lineage: Bacteria; Bacillati; Bacillota; Bacilli; Caryophanales; Staphylococcaceae
Description: tRNA-Asp
Rfam family: tRNA
About the family: Transfer RNA (tRNA) molecules are approximately 80 nucleotides in length. Their secondary structure includes four short double-helical elements and three loops (D, anti-codon, and T loops).
Source: RNAcentral